Non-coding RNA from Gossypium raimondii (Peruvian cotton), 129 nucleotides. Lineage: Eukaryota; Viridiplantae; Streptophyta; Magnoliopsida; Malvales; Malvaceae. The record is from Rfam.
UGUUAAAAGUUUUAUCCAUCUCUACUUUUAAAAGCUAAUAUGAGUAGCAAAACAAUCAAAUAGUGGCACAUGUCAUAUGCUGACAUAGAGGGACCAAUUUUUAUCUGUAGAUGGAUGGAACUUUUAACA